RNAcentral lists this long non-coding RNA (1107 nucleotides) under Scophthalmus maximus (turbot). RNAcentral describes it as "lncRNA (ENSSMAG00000031452.1)". The record is from RNAcentral. Lineage: Eukaryota; Metazoa; Chordata; Actinopteri; Pleuronectiformes; Scophthalmidae.
CUUCCCCUGCCUUCUUCCUGGACUCAGCAUGGCUUCAACGGCAGCUGCCUCUGCCUCUCUCUCUCUCUGUUUAAUCCCCCCCAUCCUGCCUCUCCUCUCCCUCGUCUUCCUCUUCCCCCCUCUGGAUUUGUUUGUUCUCCCUCAGCUCCCAGGUGUUUUCCUGCACGACACCAUGUUCCGCUGAGCAGAGGGCCGUUUAAGCUCCUCUUCCGUUCUGACUCAGUGCGAGCCCGUGACGAGCCGCGGCACUGUAACUCUGCUGCUGCUGCAUCAAGACAUCAAUUCAGCCCAAGGGCGGCGCCGACCUCAAGGGUCCAUCUGAGCGAAUGUCUGACUGAUCCUCAAAGCGGUGAAGGAGCGGAGCAGGUCACAGCCCACCACAGAAUGUCACAGCCCUUACAUAAUCCCGGCAUGCAUCUUCUGUCGUGACACACCAGCAGGACCCCUCGCCCUCGCUCUGAAGUCUCCCAACAAGACAAAAAGGUCAAGACAUUAGAGAGGAGAGGAGAGAAUGGUCCAGGCCAACCCGCCUCGCAUCAUGCAAAAGGUUAGUGUGGAGAGUGGGAACACGGACAAUUGGAGUUUUCAGGAGCCCCUCUCUGACCUUGAUGCUGAUUUAUUGAUUAUGUCAUGGCAAAAAAGAAAUGACCUAUGAAGCUGCGUUUUCAAAUCUGAGACUGCCUUUGUUAAUCUGUGCUGAGUGGGCAACUGGACACUUGGAGCAUACCGUGAGCAUGUGACCACAGAGGGAGGCUCAGCUCACUGUCACAUUAAGUGACUCAUUUGUCAUUGUAGUCAUCUUCUUCUACAUCCAUCACCAUAAAUUUCCCCGAACACCCAAAAAAUAUAUUCUACAAGGUUAUUUAAUUGUAUUGUCGCCAGUCAAAUAAACAUUUCAAGCCAUGAAAAGAUGGUUUUAUUUUUUUCCAUGCCAAUAAACAUGACCUCCGCCAAAUGAUGUUUUGUGUUUUUUUCCUCUGGAAAAUGUCAACCAAAGCUCCAAAGCAAUCCAAAACCUCUGGGGACAAACAAAGCUUACAGAAUUGUUGCCAACAUCCAAAAACAGCAUGAUCAAAAACAGAGGAACUUGGUAGCGGCAGCCAUUUU